CAGCAGCCGCGGUAAUACGUAGGGUGCAAGCGUUAACCGGAAUUACCGGGCGUAAAGCGUGCGCAGGCGGUUUGUUAAGACAGAUGUGAAAUCCCCGGGCUCAACCUGGGAACUGCAUUUGUGACUGGCAAGCUAGAGUGUGGCAGAGGGGGGUGGAAUUCCGCGUGUAGCAGUGAAAUGCGUAGAUAUGCGGAGGAACACCGAUGGCGAAGGCAGCCCCCUGGGCCAACACUGACGCUCAUGCACGAAAGCGUGGGGAGCAAACAGGAUUAGAUACCCGCGUAGUCCCUGUCUCUUAUAC
RNAcentral lists this ribosomal RNA (301 nucleotides) under uncultured bacterium. Its description in RNAcentral is "partial 16S ribosomal RNA". It matches the Rfam family "Bacterial small subunit ribosomal RNA", at positions 509 to 807 of the family's 1533-position model. The record is from RNAcentral.